This 652-nucleotide long non-coding RNA is filed under the name Olea europaea subsp. europaea. Lineage: Eukaryota; Viridiplantae; Streptophyta; Magnoliopsida; Lamiales; Oleaceae. The record is from RNAcentral.
UUAUAAAUUAAAAUAUAUUGACUCGAUGAAGUUCAAUGACUCAAUUAUAACUAGACUGAAAGUUUAGUGACCUUUGUCACAUGAAAAUUCAAGCUUGAAUUUUAAGCCGUUCUUUGUCCAUCCUUCAGCCAUCCACCGCUCCACACGACACACAAUUCUUCAUCACAUCACCUUUCACGUUUCUCAAGGUUAUCAUGUCUUCCAUGCCGCCACGUGUCCACCCCACUCUCACUUCACCAUGAAUAUGUAUACAUUUGAUGCAUUUUUCAAAAAUUUCUCAAAUCGUUACAGAAUCCGCCUUUGAAUCCUAGCCGCCAACCAUCAUGUCUGAUCAACAAAAACCCAUGUCCCAAAGACUUCAGGACUCGGCCCCCAAUUCAGGCCAAGUCUUAAUUAGAUUCUUAACUGCGGCUACGAUCGGAGGUGUUUUGCUCGGUUUAUCCGCUUUAAUCUUAACCGGGACGGUGAUCGCCCUGAUUAUCGCCACCCCGGUUCUGCUUUUGUUCAGUCCGAUUCUUAUCCCAGCCGGAAUUGUUCUGUUCUUGGUCACUGCUGGAUUCUUGUUCGCCGGUGGAUGUGGAGUGGCGGCGCUGGCGGCGUUAUUGUGGAUAUACAAUUAUGUGGCCGGAAAACACCCACCCGGGUCGGAUCA